GGCUCGGUGCUGUCCAAGAAGAUACAGAGACUAAAAAAAUCAUAAGAAGCAAAAUAUGACUGCAGGGAAAAGAAGCUGGAGAGAACAGAAGGGGCUGUUUCCAAAGUGACCUACAGACAUUGGAAUGAAAUCAUUAUUUACUGUGUAAAAGAAUCACUCUCCAAAGCAUCAGCCAGGGUCUAAAUGUGCCAUUCUGCCUUUUAAAAGUACCAACAUCACAGGAUUUUUCUCAGAUUAAAGCUUCCAUGGAGUCGGAUCUCUCAAGCCUGGCCCUUGAGAAUUGUGGGCCUCCUGUGAACUGGUCUUGCCAGAAGGGCUUGCUGAGUUUUCCAUUGUGUGGAAAAGAGAUCCCAUUUGCAGCCUGAAGCCUCAUGUUUCCUGUAGGAUUUCCACUCCUAGAAUUGCACACUUUGAAGGAUUUCUUAUAGCAGAAGUUUUUUGGGAACUAGGACUCUGGCUGGAUUUGGGUCUCUGGACUCUCAGGUGAAGUGACCUUGAGACACUAGGGCGUGCAGAUUUCCUUGCUGUUGUAAAGAGCUAUUGUUCGCACCCAGGAGCCAUGGUCUGAAUGGGGGUGUCACCUCUUAAAUUUGCAAAUGUCACAGGAUUUCUUCUAAAUGAAUGGUGCUAAGAACAUAAGGUCUGGCUGGCUUUCGACUUAGAGGCGCCUCCUCUAAAUUGGUCUUCAGACGCUAGGUUGGAAAGUGUUCCUACAUAUGCCAAAUAGCCCUUGCUAUGCAAUUAAUAAGCUUCAAAUUACCAUGGAGUUGCUGCCCCUGCAAAGAUUUUGGCAGAGCCUGGUUGUGGUGCCCCACUCCACUCCACCACCCUUAGCAGGUCCUUAUGGUUGCAUGGGGAAUCAUCGUGGAGCAUGCCAACCCAGCUCCAUCCUGGGAACAGCACCUGUAUUUUACCCUAAAAUUUCUGUCCCAUUAUAGCUCCUGUUAGGAUACAAAUGUAACUUCUCGGUUUCCACUGAUUUUACCCCCAGUCAUCUUUCCAUACAGACAUUGCUCCACUCCCCAGAGGAUUAUUGUGAGCAGAUGUGAGCUCUGCUGUCCCUUUGGACUGACAAAGACAGAGGUUUUGUCCCAAGUUGCUUUUGAACCUGUCCUGCACCCGUUACGAGUCCUCAGUCUCCUGCAAUUUUGUGGGUCAGUCACAUGUAAAACAGCACAGCUGGCUGGCAUGCUUUGCUCAUGAGGGGAGACAAGAGAAGAAUCCCUCUGCUCACACCAGACCUGCAGCUGCCAAACCUCACCAAAGCACCUGAGGAGCCCCCAGGGACUGAUGGUACAGAAGGGAGGUGAUGGAGGACAGCACAGCAGGCAGCCUGCCCUCCAUCUGGCUGUGAAGAAGGCAGGGCUGGGAACUGUCAGCAACAUCCCAGCAGGUCUGGCUGAUGGUGCCACCCUGAGGGCUUCCCCUGCCUUUGGGCAGUCCCAGCUGCUGCAGCUCACUUGACAGAGACUCAUUGUCUAUACUGUGCUUGGCUGCACUGGAGAUGAUGAAGCCGAGGACAGCAAUGGUUGCCUUCACAUCCCCUGACUGCAGAUGGGAAGGAGGGCGAGCUCUGUCACCUUGGGAAGGCCUCUGCAGAGUCACUGCUGCCCGUCUCUGGAGCGUGGCUCCAUCGGGGGACCGUGGUAAGGACAGCAGUGCUCACCUAACUGCGCACCUGAGGACAGCUUCAGGACCUUGUCAUACUGUGGGAGAGCAGAGCUUCACAGUAAACACCAGCUAACACACUGACUGCCAGUGUUAACACUAACAGUUCUUACCUAAAUAUUAAUACUAGUAACACUUACUAUGCGUAUUAUUAAUCCUAGUAGAGGCUGGUAGCGUUCUUUAGGCUGAGGCUUGCAUGAAGAAUACAAAAUUAAUUAACGUU
This is a long non-coding RNA of Melospiza melodia melodia, 1891 nucleotides long. RefSeq lists it as uncharacterized. The transcript has 2 exons. The record is from RefSeq and is a predicted model, not a curated record. NCBI's taxonomy places the organism in Eukaryota, Metazoa, Chordata, Aves, Passeriformes, Passerellidae.